GGAUUAGAUACCCUGGUAGUCCAUGCCGUAAACGAUGUGUGCUAGACGUUGGAAAUUUAUUUUUCAGUGUCGCAGCGAAAGCGUUAAGCACACCGCCUGGGGAGUACGACCGCAAGGUUAAAACUCAAAUGAAUUGACGGGGACCCGCACAAGCAGUGGAGCAUGUGGUUUAAUUCGAAGAUACGCGCAGAACCUUACCAACACUUGACAUGUUCGUCGCGAGACCAAGAGAUUAGAGCUUUCGGUUCGGCCGGACGAAACACAGGUGCUGCAUGGCUGUCGUCAGCUCGUGUUG
RNAcentral lists this ribosomal RNA (295 nucleotides) under uncultured bacterium. RNAcentral's name for it is "partial 16S ribosomal RNA". It matches the Rfam family "Bacterial small subunit ribosomal RNA", at positions 775 to 1067 of the family's 1533-position model. The record is from RNAcentral.